Molecule: long non-coding RNA, 1218 nt
Filed under: Brassica napus (rape)
Lineage: Eukaryota; Viridiplantae; Streptophyta; Magnoliopsida; Brassicales; Brassicaceae
Description: long non-coding RNA (BNAP_LNC022927)
Source: RNAcentral
UUAGUAGGGUUUAGUGUUUAGGGUUUAUAUAUGUGUUUAGGGUUUAGUGAUUAGGGUUUAGGGUUUAUAUUUGGGUUUAGGGUUUAGUGAUUAGGGUUUAGGGUUUAUAUUUGGGUUUAGUGAUUAGGGUUUAGAGUUUAGUGAUUAGUGUUUAGGGUUUAUAUCUGGGUUUAAGGUUUAGUGAUUAUGGUUUAGGAUUUAUAUUUGAGUUUAGGGUUUAGUGAUUAGGGUUUAGGGUUUUGUGAUUAGUGUUUAGGGUUUAUAUAUGGGUUUAGGGUUUAUAUUUGGGUUUAGGGUUUAGUGAUUAGGGUUUAGGGUUUAGUAAUUUUCUUUUCAAGCUAGAGUUUAGGGUUUAGGGUUUAUAUGUCAUGUCUUCAAAUUUGAUAUUUCUCUUCUAUGCCCUUUUGUACGAUUGUUCGUAAUAUAAAAUUAGUUUCAUUCAAAUGUUCGACAAUGUUAGAGUCAUGUCUAGUUCAAAAACGUCUUUUUCAUCAACAAGUAUUUUUAUUUCUUCUCGUACUAUUUCACAUAUGAUGCUCAACUAAUAUAAAUAGAACAAAUAUUUGUAUACUAUUUUAUACAAUGUUCCAUACUAUGUAUGUAUAGUACUUGAAAAUAUUAUAAAAUAUUAUAUAUUUCAGAUUUUGAUUUUCUUUUAAAUAUAUAUUAUAGCUUAGAUUUGAGUUUAGGAUUUAGUGACCAAAGUUUAGAGUUUAGUAAUUAGGGGUUCGGUUUAGAGUUUAGUAUGAUAUUUUCCAUCUUUAUAUACUAUAGUUUAAUAUCACAAAAUAUUAUAUAUAUUUUUUAGAUUUUAAUUUUAUUUCAAAUUUAUAAAUAUAUAAUAUAGUUUACAUUUGAGUUUGGGUUUAGUAUUAAAAGUUGGAGUUAGAUUUAGGUUUAUAUUUGAUUUAUGGUUUAUAUUUGGAUUUAGGGUUUAGUGAUUAGGGUUUAAGGUUUAGUAUUUAGAGAUUAGUUUCAGAUUGAGAUAAGUUUUAGUAUCUAGAUUUUAAGGUUGAUGUAUAAUUAAUAUUCUAUAUUAUUUUGGUGAUAUGAAGUAGAAUUAAUGAAAUAUUUGUGGUUAUAUGUAUGUGAUGUGGCUGUGUUAUCUUCCUUUUGUUGGUGACAGUUUGCAUUAAUUGUUGGCUACACUUGGAUUUUGUCAACGUCAUCUCCACAUCUUUAAGUCACCGGCAACUUGUAUGAAUCAAAAAUAAAAUC